This 201-nucleotide long non-coding RNA is filed under the name Citrus sinensis (sweet orange). Its description in RNAcentral is "long non-coding RNA (CSIN_LNC000173)". Lineage: Eukaryota; Viridiplantae; Streptophyta; Magnoliopsida; Sapindales; Rutaceae. The record is from RNAcentral.
GACUUAAUUCCUUAAUAAAUCGAAGGGAAAAUAUCCACCGUCCACCCAUUUUUUUCAACUUUUUUCAAAAAUACACAAUUCUUUCUUUUUUUGGCUGAAAUCCAACUAAAGUUACAUUUUGUUUCACUUUUCCACUUCCGUUUAGAAUUCGUUAAGAAAACUAACGGAAACUUUAAAAAAUGACCAUUUUACCCCCAAAAC